This 709-nucleotide long non-coding RNA is filed under the name Triticum aestivum (bread wheat). RNAcentral describes it as "long non-coding RNA (TAES_LNC008435)". The record is from RNAcentral. Lineage: Eukaryota; Viridiplantae; Streptophyta; Magnoliopsida; Poales; Poaceae.
CACAGAAGCAAUCACUAACAAAGUAACAAUAGUAGUACAACUACUUGCAGAUAACCAGAGUCAAGCUCUGCGUGCUCAGUUAAACCCAACACGUUCAACAAUACAGUUGGUUCUGUGCCUAACGCAUAAAUGUAACUUACUGUGAGCGCAUCAUCAACCUAAAAACUUACAUUACAAAAAGCACAAUCGUGUGGCAGAGAUGGUAAUCAGAAGCUGCUGAAAUGAACUACUGCUUUUGAUAUAUCAGUUUGCCAAAAGAGGCAACAGAGCAUUGGCAGUCAUCCAUCAAUCAAUUCCCCAUCCAGCAAUAAGAGCACUUGAGAGUUCCAGAUAACCAGAGUCGGCAAGCACCAACUAAAGCAACAGAACCAGCUACAGUCGCUACUAGAUAGAUAGAUAGAUACAAGCAAUGCAGAUGCAAUCUAGGAGGAGGUGAACUUGGUGACGGCCUUGGUGCCCUCGGAGACGGCGUGCUUGGCGAGCUCCCCGGGGAGGACGAGGCGGACGGAGGUCUGGAUCUCCCGGGAGGUGAUGGUGGGCUUCUUGUUGUAGCGGGCGAGCUUGGCGGCCUCGGCGGCGAGCUUCUCGAAGAUGUCGUUGAUGAAGGAGUUCAUGAUGGACAUGGCCUUGGAAGAGAUGCCGAUGUCGGGGUGCACCUGCUUCAGCACCUUGAAGAUGUAGAUCUUGUACGUCUCCACGCCCUUCUUCG